This 449-nucleotide ribosomal RNA is filed under the name uncultured bacterium. Its description in RNAcentral is "partial 16S ribosomal RNA". It matches the Rfam family "Bacterial small subunit ribosomal RNA", at positions 29 to 523 of the family's 1533-position model. The record is from RNAcentral.
AACGAACGCUGGCGGCAUGCCUAACACAUGCAAGUCGAACGAAGCCUUCGGGCUUAGUGGCGCACGGGUGCGUAACGCGUGGGAAUCUGCCCUUUGGUUCGGAAUAACAGUUGGAAACGACUGCUAAUACCGGAUGAUGACGAAAGUCCAAAGAUUUAUCGCCAGAGGAUGAGCCCGCGUAGGAUUAGCUAGGUGGUGUGGUAAAGGCGCACCAAGACGACGAUCCUUAGCUGGUCUGAGAGGAUGAUCAGCCACACUGGGACUGAGACACGGCCCAGACUCCUACGGGAGGCAGCAGUGGGGAAUAUUGGACAAUGGGCGAAAGCCUGAUCCAGCAAUGCCGCGUGAGUGAUGAAGGCCCUAGGGUUGUAAAGCUCUUUUACCCGGGAUGAUAAUGACAGUACCGGGAGAAUAAGCCCCGGCUAACUCCGUGCCAGCAGCCGCCGUAA